This 655-nucleotide ribosomal RNA is filed under the name uncultured fungus. Its description in RNAcentral is "eukaryotic LSU rRNA". It matches the Rfam family "Eukaryotic large subunit ribosomal RNA", at positions 24 to 662 of the family's 3401-position model. Lineage: Eukaryota; Fungi. The record is from RNAcentral.
CCCGCUGAACUUAAGCAUAUCAAUAAGCGGAGGAAAAGAAACUAACAAGGAUUCCCCUAGUAACUGCGAGUGAAGCGGGAAAAGCUCAAAUUUAAAAUCUGGUGGUCUUUGGCUGCCCGAGUUGUAAUCUAGAGAAGUGUUAUCCGCGCUGGACCGUGUACAAGUCUCCUGGAAUGGAGCGUCAUAGAGGGUGAGAAUCCCGUCUUUGACACGGACUACCAGGGCUUUGUGGUACGCUCUCAAAGAGUCGAGUUGUUUGGGAAUGCAGCUCAAAAUGGGUGGUAAAUUCCAUCUAAAGCUAAAUAUUGGCGAGAGACCGAUAGCGAACAAGUACCGUGAGGGAAAGAUGAAAAGAACUUUGGAAAGAGAGUUAAACAGUACGUGAAAUUGCUGAAAGGGAAACGCUUGAAGUCAGUCGCGUUGGCCGGGAAUCAGCCUUGCUUUUUGUGAGGUGUACUUCCUGGUUGAUGGGUCAGCAUCAAUUUUGACCGCUGGAAAAAGGCUUGAGGAAUGUGGCAGCUCCGGCUGUGUUAUAGCUUCAUGUCACAUACAGCGGUUGGGAUUGAGGAACUCAGCACGCCGCAAGGCCGGGUUUCGACCACGUUCGUGCUUAGGAUGCUGGCAUAAUGGCUUUAAGCGACCCGUCUUGAAACAC